UACGUAGGGUGCGAGCGUUGUCCGGAAUUACUGGGCGUAAAGAGCUCGUAGGUGGUUUGUCGCGUUGUUCGUGAAAACUCACAGCUUAACUGUGGGCGUGCGGGCGAUACGGGCAGACUGGAGUACUGCAGGGGAGACUGGAAUUCCUGGUGUAGCGGUAGAAUGCGCAGAUAUCAGGAGGAACACCGGUGGCGAAGGCGGGUCUCUGGGCAGUAACUGACGCUAAGGAGCGAAAGCGUGGGGAGCGAACAGG
This 253-nucleotide ribosomal RNA is filed under the name uncultured bacterium. RNAcentral's name for it is "partial 16S ribosomal RNA". It matches the Rfam family "Bacterial small subunit ribosomal RNA", at positions 524 to 776 of the family's 1533-position model. The record is from RNAcentral.